AAGUCGUAACAAGGUUUCCGUAGGUGAACCUGCGGAAGGAUCAUUGUCGAAUCCUGCAAACGACCGCGAACAAGUUCAUAAACUGACCGGGCGACGGCGAUAGGGGGCGACCCCGUUCGCACGACCCCGGGCCCAACUAAACUCCCGGCGCGGAAAGCGCCAAGGACUACUCAAACGGAUUGCCCGUCUCCCUUGCGGAUUCCGCGGGGGAGGCGUCGGCGUCUGAAACGUAACCAAAACGACUCUCGGCAACGGAUAUCUAGGCUCUC
This 269-nucleotide unclassified non-coding RNA is filed under the name air metagenome. RNAcentral's name for it is "partial contains small subunit ribosomal RNA, internal transcribed spacer 1, and 5.8S ribosomal RNA". The stretch from base 1 to 46 matches the Rfam family "Eukaryotic small subunit ribosomal RNA", at positions 1786 to 1831 of the family's 1831-position model. The record is from RNAcentral.